GGGUAGUGUGAUAUGGGUUGGGGUGUGUCUUAUAAGGGCACAAGGGGAGAGGAAGAGUCCUAGUCAAAUUGGGACCUCUCUUAAGCUUUGGUCAAAACCUAAUCAAAUCCUUAACCGAAUAGGAAAUGGUUGCACCCAAAUAGAGAGAAAUCUUAGUCUAACUAGGAACUCAAUUAAAUCCUAAUCAGCUUAGGAAUUGGAAAGAUGCACUCGAGUCCUAAUCAAAUAGAAAAUUGAUCUCCCUUAUAAUUGAGUUAUCUCAUAAUCCAAUU
RNAcentral lists this long non-coding RNA (272 nucleotides) under Elaeis guineensis (African oil palm). Its description in RNAcentral is "long non-coding RNA (EGUI_LNC058209)". Lineage: Eukaryota; Viridiplantae; Streptophyta; Magnoliopsida; Arecales; Arecaceae. The record is from RNAcentral.